GACGAACGCUGGCGGCGUGCCUAAUACAUGCAAGUAGAACGCUAAAGAGAGGAGCUUGCUCUUCUUGGAUGAGUUGCGAACGGGUGAGUAACGCGUAGGUAACCUGCCUUGUAGCGGGGGAUAACUAUUGGAAACGAUAGCUAAUACCGCAUAACAAUGGAUGACACAUGUCAUUUAUUUGAAAGGGGCAAUUGCUCCACUACAAGAUGGACCUGCGUUGUAUUAGCUAGUAGGUGAGGUAAUGGCUCACCUAGGCGACGAUACAUAGCCGACCUGAGAGGGUGAUCGGCCACACUGGGACUGAGACACGGCCCAGACUCCUACGGGAGGCAGCAGUAGGGAAUCUUCGGCAAUGGGGGCAACCCUGACCGAGCAACGCCGCGUGAGUGAAGAAGGUUUUCGGAUCGUAAAGCUCUGUUGUAAGUCAAGAACGGGUGUGAGAGUGGAAAGUUCACACUGUGACGGUAGCUUACCAGAAAGGGACGGCUAACUACGUG
RNAcentral lists this ribosomal RNA (497 nucleotides) under uncultured bacterium. Its description in RNAcentral is "partial 16S ribosomal RNA". It matches the Rfam family "Bacterial small subunit ribosomal RNA", at positions 28 to 507 of the family's 1533-position model. The record is from RNAcentral.